CCUACGGGAGGCAGCAGUGAGGAAUAUUGGUCAAUGGGCGCGAGCCUGAACCAGCCAAGUCGCGUGAAGGAUGACUGCCCUACGGUUUGUAAACCUCUUUUAUAAAGGAAUAAAGUGAGGCACGUGUGCCUUUUUGUAUGUCCUUUAUGAAUCAGGCUCGGCUAACUCCGUGCCAGCAGCCGCGGUAAUACGGAGGAUACGAGCGUUAUCCGGAUUUAUUGGGUUGAAAGGGAGCGUAGAUGGGUUGUUAAGUCAGUUGUGAAAGUGUGCGGCUCAACCGUAAAAUUGCAAUUGAUACUGGCAGCCUUGAGUACAGGAGAGGUAGGCGGAAUUCGUGGUGUAGCGGUGAAAUGCUUAGAUAUCACGAAGAACUCCGAUUGCGAAGGCAGCUUACUAAACUGCCACUGACACUGAUGAUCGAAAGUGUGGGUAUCAAACAGGAUUAGAUACCCUUGUAGUC
Molecule: ribosomal RNA, 460 nt
Filed under: uncultured bacterium
Lineage: Bacteria
Description: partial 16S ribosomal RNA
Rfam family: Bacterial small subunit ribosomal RNA
Source: RNAcentral